Molecule: long non-coding RNA, 339 nt
Filed under: Dromaius novaehollandiae (emu)
Lineage: Eukaryota; Metazoa; Chordata; Aves; Casuariiformes; Dromaiidae
Description: lncRNA (ENSDNVG00000008378.1)
Source: RNAcentral
CAGGAAUUUCCUCCCAAGAUGCUUCAUAGUUGGCCUGAGGAGAUGAACACUAGGAGGAGGAUGCUCCGCACUCAGGGGAACUCCAGCGCUGCAUGGAUCUGUUACACUUUACAGACUGGGCUAGAUGAGACAACAGCGCAAUUUAAGUUUGCAGAAUAUGYAGAAAAUGGAAACCUCAGUGAGCCAGCAAAACCUUGGAGAUGUUGGAGAUACAGAAGAGGACCACCCACGAGAGCUACUGUGGCAGAAGGCAUCCAAGUGUAGUUCAUUAAAAGAGGCUCCAAUGCUUCUUCUGUGGCUCUAAUUCCURAAAGAAUUUGAAUUUGGAAGAGAUGUAGG